CGUUCCCGGGCCUUGUACACACCGCCCGUCACACCAUGGGAGUUGGUUUUACCCGAAGCCGGCUUAGCGAACCCCGCAAGGGGGCGCGGCCGACCACGGUAAGGUCAGCGACUGGGGUG
This 119-nucleotide ribosomal RNA is filed under the name uncultured bacterium. RNAcentral's name for it is "partial 16S ribosomal RNA". It matches the Rfam family "Bacterial small subunit ribosomal RNA", at positions 1369 to 1482 of the family's 1533-position model. The record is from RNAcentral.